UACGGAGGGUGCAAGCGUUAUUCGGAUUUACUGGGCGUAAAGGGUGCGUAGGCUGUUUUUUAAGUUAGGCGUGAAAGCCCCAGGCUCAACCUGGGAACUGCGCUUAAUACUGGAGAACUUGAGUACGAGAGAGGAAAAUGGAAUUCCUAGUGUAGAGGUGAAAUUCGUAGAUAUUAGGAAGAACACCAGUGGCGAAGGCGAUUUUCUGGCUCGUAACUGACGCUGAGGCACGAAAGCGUGGGGAGCAAAC
RNAcentral lists this ribosomal RNA (250 nucleotides) under uncultured bacterium. RNAcentral describes it as "partial 16S ribosomal RNA". It matches the Rfam family "Bacterial small subunit ribosomal RNA", at positions 524 to 773 of the family's 1533-position model. The record is from RNAcentral.